Molecule: ribosomal RNA, 471 nt
Filed under: uncultured bacterium
Lineage: Bacteria
Description: bacterial SSU rRNA
Rfam family: Bacterial small subunit ribosomal RNA
Source: RNAcentral
AGGGUUCGAUUAUGGCUCAGGAUGAACGCUGGCGGCGUGCUUAACACAUGCAAGUCGAACGAACCUUCGGGUUAGUGGCGGACGGGUGAGUAACGCGUGAGAAUCUGCCCUCAGGAGGGGGAUAACGGUUGGAAACGACCGCUAAUACCCCAUAUGCCUACUGGUGAAAUGAAUUUCGCCUGAGGAUGAGCUCGCGUCUGAUUAGCUAGUUGGUGAGGUAAUGGCUCACCAAGGCUUCGAUCAGUAGCUGGUCUGAGAGGAUGAUCAGCCACACUGGGACUGAGACACGGCCCAGACUCCUACGGGAGGCAGCAGUGGGGAAUUUUCCGCAAUGGGCGAAAGCCUGACGGAGCAACGCCGCGUGAGGGACGAAGGCCUCUGGGCUGUAAACCUCUUUUCUCAAGGAAGAAGAUAUGACGGUACUUGAGGAAUAAGCCACGGCUAAUUCCGUGCCAGCCGCCGCGGUAAUAC